GACGAACGCUGGCGGCGUGCUUAACACAUGCAAGUCGAACGGAAAGGCCCUGCUUUUGUGGGGUGCUCGAGUGGCGAACGGGUGAGUAACACGUGAGUAACCUGCCCUUGACUUUGGGAUAACUUCAGGAAACUGGGGCUAAUACCGGAUAGGAGCUCCUGCUGCAUGGUGGGGGUUGGAAAGUUUCGGCGGUUGGGGAUGGACUCGCGGCUUAUCAGCUUGUUGGUGGGGUAGUGGCUUACCAAGGCUUUGACGGGUAGCCGGCCUGAGAGGGUGACCGGCCAAAUUGGGACUGGGAUACGACCCAGACUCCUACGGGAGGCAGCAGUGGGGAAUAUUGCACAAUGGGCGGAAGCAUGAUGCAGCAACGCCGCGUGCGGGAUGACGGCCUUCGGGUUGUAAACCGCUUUCGCCUGUGACGAAGCGUGAGUGACGGUAAUGGGUAAAGAAGCACCGGCUAACUACGUG
RNAcentral lists this ribosomal RNA (468 nucleotides) under uncultured bacterium. RNAcentral's name for it is "partial 16S ribosomal RNA". It matches the Rfam family "Bacterial small subunit ribosomal RNA", at positions 28 to 507 of the family's 1533-position model. The record is from RNAcentral.